UGCCAUUACUCAGGUCUGGGAAAGGCCGAGAGGUGUACUGUGCGUUUGGCCUCUCGGAGCAAGAAAUCACUGUAUCAGUGAAACCCCAACCAAAACCUCAUUGCGAAGGAUUUGGCAGCGCCCUGCCCGGGUUGGAGCCUAACAUUAAGGAACCGUGAGGAGCCCGGCGGCUAGUUCUUUCCGGGUGCUGGCUUCCAGGCAGGGUGCCGAAGGGAGUCCCUUUGGAAAAAAAGACCUUGUUUUUAAGGAGUCCCUUAAGGCCCCAUCUGGAUGGUUUAAUGAGAGGACACAGAAAAAAUGACCCAGCCUCGCCUUCAAAGGAGAAGUUUGGGGAAACUCUAAGUCAACUUGGCCCAAGGGGAAACAUCUCUCCUUGCACACACAUAGUCCCUGGAUCCUUGGAUCGCUGGUCUCUGCUUUUAAAGGUGUGAAGUAAGAGUUCAGCCGCCAAGGGCAGAAAACUAAUCCUGGAGGAGUGUCUGUUCCUUAAGAAAAUGGUGUCUGAAGGUUUGGUCAGCAGGCCAUUUUUGACUCCUGAUGCCAAGGAGUCCAGGCUGUCCCGGCAGCUCUUGGUGAUCUUUGGGAAUGGCCUUUCUGGAGAGAAGCUGUCUGGAUGGAACACUCGUCUUGCUCUACAUCUUAUUCAUGGUAUCAAUCAUCAAAUGGAAGAGAAGCGAUUUAUGGACUACUUGUUGGGAAGUGUGUGCUCUCAUACAGCAUCUACAACUUCAAAGACAAAUGCAGAAAACAUUGUUUUAGCCUGGGGGCUAAAAUGCAGCCAUCAUCAUCAUCAAGUUUAUAGAUGACACUAACUGGAAGAAGUGCAGGAGGGAGUUUCAGACAGGAAUAAUUUCAAGGUAAAGACCAGGAGAGAACAUUUAAUCAUAAAAUACAGUGGUGAAAAGGGAUUGGUUCUGCGUGUUCAUGAGUAGAUUAUGAUAAGGAUGCAUUAAGGUUGAGGAGAAUGAAGCUGGUAUAAAUUUUUGGGACAUAACAUUCU
Cavia porcellus (domestic guinea pig) is the source of this 1000-nucleotide long non-coding RNA. RefSeq lists it as uncharacterized. The transcript is spliced from 5 exons. The record is from RefSeq and is a predicted model, not a curated record. Lineage: Eukaryota; Metazoa; Chordata; Mammalia; Rodentia; Caviidae.